This 25-nucleotide non-coding RNA is filed under the name Rattus norvegicus (Norway rat). Lineage: Eukaryota; Metazoa; Chordata; Mammalia; Rodentia; Muridae. The record is from RNAcentral.
UAAGAUUUUCCUCUGGGCCUUUGUU